GCUGCCUCUUCUUCCAUUUCUCUGCAAGUCCCCUCUUCUCUUCUCUCUCAACAUUUUUCUGCCUCCGAAGAAAAAUUUCUUACCUCUCCAGAUCCAUCGGAUUUCUUACAAAAACUAACAGAUCUUCAUGAACACUACACCAUGAACCAGGAGGAAAAACCAUUUCCUUCUUCACUCCAGAUCUAUUUAUAUCAUUAUGUUCGAUAUAAAACCAUUUUCUUCAAUCUUAACUCAAAACCAUUCUUCUUAACCAUUUCCUUUUUCAUCUUUUUUGUUUGUGUGGUAUUAAUAGUUCUUCUUAUUGGAACUAAAGUUACGCUUUAAAUGAGUUUUUAGAAGACGAACAAUCAACCUCAGUUGGAUUUCUUGAACUUCUCCAGAUUCACCACCUCGGUGACGGUACUGAAUGCUACAAAUUCACCACAUGCAGUACCAAUUGCUACAUACCUCCGCGAUCGUUGACAAGAUCAGUCAAGAGCAGAGAAGCAUGAUGAAUUUGAUUUUAGGGGUUCUCAAGCACAACAACUUCGGGGAACCUUGGCUACUUCAUGAUUUCAAUGAGGAUUUCUAAGGGGAAGAACCGCGUCUUGUGAUUGUUAGUUAUAUGCGACCAUAGAUGAAUUUAAGUAAAGGAAUAUUCCCAACAAUGAAGCAAAUGCAAUUUCACCACCUGAUCCUGCAGCUGUGAAUGCAGUCAUGUAGAUAGCCUGAAACUGUUGCUUACUUCCGAUGAAGCUGACAGAAUUAUUGGUGAUCAUGCUGAAUAGUUUGCUACUUGCAUAGUGUAGAUUGUUGGGAUGCAGUGCCCUAUUUCUUUCUUUGCUGGAGGCUGGUUCCGCAAGAGUUAAAAGCCGAUAUCUGGAAGGGUUUGAGGUAACUCCCUGCUCACUGAUUUGUGAAAUCUAAGGAUAUCCAUCUACUUCUGCUAUGCAUCUAGGUUUUAUCUGCUUGUUGGUAUCAUGUUUUGCAACCUUCGCUGGUUCAUUUUAUUUUCUUCUUGUGAAGAUUCCUGAUGUAAAGAGAUGAAGCUGGAAUAAGCUAAUGAAUGUGAAUGGUAAAAGUCUGUCAUGAAUAUGAAUGGGAAAAUUCUGUAAUGAAUAUUCUGCAGAUUGGGAAAUAAGAAACUGCAGGCCUGUAAACUGAAAGUCCAGGCCCGUGAUAAUGGACCUGGACUAUCCAUUUUUUUUAA
This is a long non-coding RNA of Papaver somniferum (opium poppy), 1189 nucleotides long. RefSeq lists it as uncharacterized. NCBI's taxonomy places the organism in Eukaryota, Viridiplantae, Streptophyta, Magnoliopsida, Ranunculales, Papaveraceae. The record is from RefSeq and is a predicted model, not a curated record. The transcript is spliced from 5 exons.